AAGCACUUUGAAAAGAGGGUUAAAGAGUACGUGAAAUUGUUGAAAGGGAAGCGCCCAUGACCAGACUUGGGCCCGGUGAAUCACCCAGCGUUCUCGCUGGUGCACUUUGCCGGGCACAGGCCAGCAUCGGUUUGGCGCGGGGGACAAAGGCUUCGGGAACGUGGCUCCCUCGGGAGUGUUAUAGCCCGCUGCGCAAUACCCUGCGCCGGACUGAGGUACGCGCAUCGCAAGGAUGCUGGCGUAAUGGUCAUCAGCGACCCGUCUUGAAACACGGACCAAGGAGUCGUCUUCGUAUGCGAGUGUUCGGGUGUCAAACCCCUACGCGGAAUGAAAGUGAACGCAGGUGAGAGCUUCGGCGCAUCAUCGACCGAUCCUGAUGUUCUCGGAUGGAUUUGAGUAGGAGCAUACGGGGCCGGACCCGAAAGAAGGUGAACUAUGCCUGUAUAGGGUGAAGCCAGAGGAAACUCUGGUGGAGGCUCGCAGCGGUUCUGACGUGCGAAUCGAUCGUCAAAUAUGGGCAUGGGGGCGAAAGACUAAUCGAACCUUCUAGUAGCUGGUUUCCGCCGAAGUUUCCCUCAGGAUAGCAGUGUUGAACUCAGUUUUAUGAGGUAAAGCGAAUGAUUAGGGACUCGGGGGCGCUAUAUUGCCUUCAUCCAUUCUCAAACUUUAAAUAUGUAAGAAGCCCUUGUUGCUUGAUUGAACGUGGGCAUUCGAAUGUAUCAACACUAGUGGGCCAUUUUUGGUAAGCAGAACUGGCGAUGCGGGAUGAACCGAACGCGAGGUUAAGGUGCCGGAGUGGACGCUCAUCAGACACCACAAAAGGUGUUAGUACAUCUUGACAGCAGGACGGUGGCCAUGGAAGUCGGAAUCCGCUAAGGACUGUGUAACAACUCACCUGCCGAAUGUACUAGCCCUGAAAAUGGAUGGCGCUCAAGCGUCCCACCCAUACCUCGCCCUCAGGGUAGAAACGAAGCCCUGAGGAGUAGGCGGACGUGGAGGUCAGUGACGAAGCC
RNAcentral lists this ribosomal RNA (1013 nucleotides) under Cordyceps morakotii. RNAcentral describes it as "partial large subunit ribosomal RNA". It matches the Rfam family "Eukaryotic large subunit ribosomal RNA", at positions 369 to 1410 of the family's 3401-position model. Lineage: Eukaryota; Fungi; Ascomycota; Sordariomycetes; Hypocreales; Cordycipitaceae. The record is from RNAcentral.